RNAcentral lists this long non-coding RNA (17577 nucleotides) under Vitis vinifera (wine grape). RNAcentral describes it as "long non-coding RNA (VVIN_LNC005687)". Lineage: Eukaryota; Viridiplantae; Streptophyta; Magnoliopsida; Vitales; Vitaceae. The record is from RNAcentral.
GAUCUUGUUCCCUUCUUGGAACUGUACCUCAGCCACAAGAUCCCCUUCCCAAAUCCGGAUACUUUCUAUCCACCUCAACUCUUCCAGACCCACAUCCCUUUUACUUCAUUAUCACAAUAUGUAAUGGAAUCUCAGUGUCGAAUUGUCUAUAUUUGCCGAAAUCCGAAAGAUGUGUUUGUUUCUACAUUUUACUUCCUAGAGAAAGUGAGAGAUAAGAAGUUAACACCCCUUUCACUUGAGAAGGCAUUUGAGCGGUUCUGUAAAGGGGUCUCUCUGUAUGGACCCUUCUGGGAUCAUGUAUUAGGGUACUGGAAGGCAAGCUUGGAAGUGCCUGACAGGGUGCUGUUCUUGAAAUACGAAGAUAUGAAGAGGGACUCCUCUUUUCAUCUCAAAAGAUUGGCAGAAUUCAUGGGCUACCCUUUCUCUGUAGAGGAAGAAAAACAAGGAGUGGCGCAUGACAUUCUAGAGCUGUGCAGUUUCGAGAACCUAAGGAAUUUGAAGGUGAACAAGACAGGAAAAAUAAUUACAAGUAACAAUAAUCAAGUGGAGAAUCAUAGAUUUUUCAGGAAAGGUGAGGUUGGAGACUGGAAGAGACAUCUAACAGCUGAGAUGGAGGACGGCCUUAACAAGCUGAUUGAGCAAAAGUUGGCUGGUUCUGGUUUGGCAUUCCGUGACUCCUCCGAGGCAUGAGCGCCUGUCUAUCCACUGAGUUGCGGAUGUGAUUAUGUGUGGGUUUGUAUUAAGUUAAGUGGUUUGAGGGUGAAUUAAUAUUUUGUAUUAAUAGUUAAGUAGUUUGCAUUUAUUGGUGUGAAUGUACGAAUUUUCCGAGUUUGUUUGGUAAUUAUUUUCAAAAAUAAUUUUAAAAAACAGUCUUUAAAAACAAUUUUAAAAAAUUGUAUCCAAAUUCUAAAUAAUUCUCCACAAAUGCCCAAGUUGGUUGGAGCGGCUCUUAUUUGCUGAUUGUUGAAGAAACAGAGGCAAGAGGAAAGCCAAGUGAACAAAACGUUCUAAAUGUCCUGCAAUUGUUUUUCUUUUUGCCCACAUUUUCUUGGUUACCAAACAGAGCACCGAUGAACAUAAUAUGGAAUUAAGAGUAUGAAGGCAGCCUGUGUUGUUCACUGAAAUGUGGGUAUCAUCAUUUUCUGCACCUGUCAACUUCUUUAGAACUUGGCUUAAUGGGGAUCAUACAGAACCACUAAAACCAGCAAAAUCUAAGGGCCUGGAUCAGCUGUCACCAGUUUUGAUCCUGUUUUUGGAAGUCACUAUUCUCAUGAAAAGUGCAUAGCACAUUCUGGGGAACUCAUCUGGAUUUUGAAUGUUGGGAUUUCGUGGCCUGUCUCAAACACCGCAAAUACUUCAAAACACCAAAUCAUAAACAACCAAGUUCAUCCUUCUUAUACGAUGAGUUGGUGAGAGAGCUAUGUUUUCUUCAUCCCCCUGAGUUCCAGCACUCAGGUAUGAAUUGAUGUGUACCCAAGAAGCUAACCAUACAAACUCAUCUGGAUUUUGAAUGUUGGGAUUUCGUGGCCUGUCUCAAACACCGCAAAUACUUCAAAACGUACACCAAAUCAUAAACAACCAAGUUCAUUCUUCUUAUACGAUGAGUCGGUGAGAGAGCUAUGUUUUCUUCAUCCCCCUGAGUUCCAGCACUCAGGUAUGAAUUGAUGUGUACCCAAGAAGCUAACCAUACAAGCAACAGGGUAGAAUAGCCACAGGUUGAAGGCAAAACAGUCACCAAUGGGAGAUAAGGAUUGCAACAGUAAGGCAUGGAGAAGAGAAUGCAUUCUAGAAGUAAAUUAUCUUACAAUAGAGACCAGAUUAUCUGGUCCAUGUUUAAAAUGACAGACGAGAAGAAAACAGUAUCUGGUUUCAAUUACAAAUGAAAUCCAAAAGAGCUUUGAGAUUAUUACAAAAAUGGCUGCAGAUCAAAUGAUUCUACAGCUUGCAGAAGGGGAAAAAAGAACACCCCAUCAGCCAAAAAUGAAUCCUCCACACCCCAUUACCUAGAAGGUUUAUACUCUAAUGUAUAAGAAUCAUUUUUCCCUUUCAAGAUAUUAUAACAAAAAAGAAAAGAAAAAAGUUAAAGAAAAAGAAAAGCUGCUAAGAGAGCCAAAAUUUUUCACUUCUGACCCUACAAUAAAGCGUUCACAAGUUGAGAAAUAAAAUAUUGAGGAUCGCAUAAAUUACCCACAAUUAUGAAGUAGCAUGUUUCAACUUGUGACACAAUCUUGAAGGUAUGGGUGGCUCUGAUUUACAUACCGUUCCCAUAGAGGCUUGUACCUGCCAAUAGCCAAUUUCAGCCAUGGCUUCAUGUUUCCAUUGAAGUGAAUCACUGCAGCAGUCUCAAUCAGACGGUUGUCAAUGUUCAGAUCAUAACCCAAUCCUAGCACAUGCCAUUUUAGAUCAAGUGGUUCUGUUAGUCCACAAAAGGUCAAAAGACCAGCAGGAAGGAUGCCCAUCUUCCAUAGUGUCUGGUCAGCAUUCUGACCCUGCCAGAAAUGAUACCUUGCAGUCACAUUCGCUUUUCUCCAUCCAAUCAAAUCAAAAACAUUCAUACCAAAUGCCCAUCCACAAGCCUGUGGGUCAAACUUUGAGCUGAUGAUUGUGUUUGAGAAAUUGAGAUACUUGUAAUAACGAUGAAAUGCUUCAAGACAAGUUUCCACAGCUCCAUUCACAUUUCCAUGCAAAUCCAAUGAAAAAAGUGAGGUCAAAUCCUUCUGGACAACAACAUCAUCAUCAAGGAAAACAACUUUCUCCAGCUGUGGAUAAAUCUAUGGGAUGUAAAAUCGUAGGUGAUUCAACAAAUAUAUAUACUUUGGGUUUCGAAACUUUGGUUCAACCUCCAAAUCUUCAGACCCCUUAAAAUAAUAUUCUCGUGAAUCUGCAUCAAGAAGCUGUUUCAUAACUGGAGCAUAAGAAGCAUUCAACCAGGGUAUUUUGGAUGUUUAUUCAAGUUCUAAUGGUUUUAGCACCUCAGAGGCACCGAGACAAGAUAUUGGCAGUGAUCAUGUUGACAACAAUGAAUAGGCUGCAAAUCAACUUGAUAUUUUGGAGUUGGAAACCUUGGGAAAGUGUAAUAAUAAUAAUCACCAUGAGAUGAUGAGAUCUUCAAAAGAAGAGUUUCCUCCCUCACCCUCUUAUCAUCAGAGCAUUUUGGUGUCCUUGUCAACACGCUGUGUACGGAAGGAAACCGUGUGUGAGUGGACAGAUCUCUUUCAAAUAAAAUAUUAUGGAAGCUCUGAUAAGCCUUCAGGGUGUUUUUUUUACGAGAGCAGUUAUUUAAUCAGAGUUAUCUGUCACAAGAUGAUCCAAAUGAGCCCCUCCAUCGGCAUAUAUAGAGCCAGGAAACUUCUGGAGACUCCUAAAGCGGGAAGAGUGUGCAACGUUCUAGAGAUGUCUGGAGAAGUCCACACAACUCUACACUAUGGUGGAAGACAUGAGAAGAGUCCACAGCCUUCUAGAGAAUUCCAGAAGUCUCUUGUAUAUACUUGUACAUAGGUUUGUACCUAGAAUGAUGUAGGACAUUCUAGAAUAUACUUGAGUUAUAAGGAACCCUCCAAGGUUCUAGAGAGUUCCAUUGGUGCCUAUAAAUAGGUGAGGGCCUCAUUUGGCCAAGGCAUCAAGCAAGUGAGCUUCCAAGCACUUGUAAAGGCUUCCUUGAGUUAAUAAAAGCUUUCAUUCUUUAAAGAGUUGCCUACUAAGCUUCUUAAGCUUUCGAGUCUUGAGCGUCUUAGCCUAACAAGCUAAGCAUUGGGAACAAAACUAACUUAGCAAGAUCAAGCGUCUUUACUUGCCUAAGUGCCGCACGAGCUUAGUGAACGACUAAGUCCGUGACAAGUGGUAUCAGAGCACGGUUACGAAGUGGGCAUAGCAAAGAAAGCAUGUCAGGCUUUAACGUGGAAGAGACUAGCGAGCAAACCCGUGGAAGGGAGAUGGAGCAUACUGCACAGGGUAGAGGCAGGAAGGAUAAGUCUCGUGACGCCUUAGCCAACAUGGAGGCAAGGCUAGCCAAGGUGCAGCUAGCCAUGGCGGACACCCGGGAAGGGGUGGACUUGAUCGAGCAAGGCAUGGAGAAGGGCUUAGAGGAUCUAAGGGAGCAGAUCCAAAACCUUCUCGAGGGGGUGCUAGGCUCACAAGUUCAGCCGGUGUCACACGAGGAGUUCAUGUCCUUCUAAGACAAGGUCAUGAGCAUGUUCGCUAGUGUGGAGUCAAGGAUGGAUGCCUUAGUUACGCGCAUGGAGACCCAAGACCAAGAGAUUCGUCAAGAGCUGGCCAUCUACAAGAUUGCGGUAUCAGCACGAGUCAUGGCCACUCAUGAGGCACCAAGGGUGGAGGCGCCCAAGCCGCACACGUUUAGUGGCAAGAGGGAUGCUAAGGAAUUGGAUAACUUCUUAUGGCACAUGGAGCGUUACUUUGAGGCCAUUGCAUUGACGGAUGAAGCCACUAAGGUACACACCGCGACCCUCUACCUCACCGAUAAUGCUACUCUAUGGUGGCGUCGACGGUUUGCCGACAUAGAGAAAGGGACGUGCACCAUAGACACAUGGGAUGCCUUUUGAGAAAGAAAUCAAAAGGCAAUUCUAUCCCGAAGAUGUGGCUUACCUAGCAAGGAAGAGUAUGAAACGUCUCAAGCAUACAGGCUCGAUCCGUGAGUAUGUCAAGGAGUUCCCUACGCUUAGCUUGAGAUACCUAACAUGGUCGAGAAGGAGCUACUAUUUAACUUCAUGGACAACUUGCAAAGCUGGGCCGAGCAAGAGUUGAAGAGACGUGGUGUCCAAGACCUAGCCACGGCCAUGGCAGUAGCGGAGUCCUUGGUAGAUUAUAGAAGAGGAGACUUCUCCAAGUCAAAGCCACCAUCCAAGGGUAACCAGGACAAAGGUGGGGGAGACAAGGGAUCACGAGGCCACACUUCUAAGGAAUGAUCAAGCAAAUGCCCUAGUGGCAAGGAUGGCAAAGGUAAGGAUAAGCGGAAGGAGUUCACGCCCAGGACCAAUUGCUUCCUAUGCGAUGGUCCACAUUGGGCACGGGAUUGCCCUAAAAGAAAAGCUCUAAAUGCUAUGAUCGAGGAAAAGGAGUAGGAAGACAAUGCUAAAGUGGGAUCGUUGCAGCUCCUAAAUGCCCUUAAGGCCAAGCCAAUGCCUAAGACGCCUCAAAGCAAAGGGCUAAUGUAUGUAGAGGCCCUUGUGAAUGGGAAGGCCACCAAGGCCCUGGUGGACACUGGUGCCACUCAUAACUUUGUCUCAGAAGAUGAGGCAAGAAGGCUGGAGCUCCAAGCAUCCAAGUAAGGAGGAUGGCUCAAGGCAGUUAAUUUAGCUACCAAGCCAUCACAUGGAGUAGCUUGCGAGGUGACUAUGCACAUCGACUCAUGGGAAGGAAGGGUCGACUUCACAGUGGCACCCAUGGACGACUUCAAGAUGGUGCUAGGAAUGGACUUCCUACAAAAGGUCAAGGCCAUGCCACUACCUUUCCUACACUCAAUGGCUAUCCUAAAGAAGGAAAACCCCUGCAUGGUCCCUACAGUCACCGAAGGUACGCUCAAGAUUCCUAUGCUAUCAGCUAUGCAAGUUAAGAAGGGGUUAAAGAGGAAAGAGAUGACCUACCUCGCCACCCUGAAGGAAGAGAGGGAUGAUGGGUCGGAAGAACCCAUGCCUAAGGAAAUCGAGGGGGUCCUUAAUGAAUUCAAGGAAGUGAUGCCGCCCGAGUUGCCUAAGAGACUUCCUCCUAGGAGAGAGGAAGAUCACAAGAUUUAGUUGGAGUCGGGAGCCAAGCCCUUGCUAUGGGGCCAUAUCGGAUGGCACCACCUGAACUGGAUGAGCUAAGGAGACAACUCAAGGAGUUGUUAGACGCGGGGUUCAUCCAACCAUCCAAGGCUACCUAUGGAGCGCCGAUCUUGUUUCAGAAGAAGCACAAUGGAUCCCUACAGAUGUGUAUCGACUACCGGGCACUCAACAAGGUGACGAUAAAGAACAAGUACCCUAUCCCGCUCAUUGCUGACUUGUUCGAUCAACUUGGAAGGGUAAGAUACUUCACAAAGCUAGACUUAAGGUCAAGCUACUACCAAGUCAGGAUUGCGGAGGGGGACGAGCCAAAGACCACAUGUGUGACCAGGUACGACUCAUACGAAUUCCUAGUGAUGCCUUUUGGACUCACCAAUGCUCCUGCGACGUUCUGCACCCUUAUGAACAAGAUCUUCCACCCAUACUUAGACAAGUUUGUGGUGGUGUACUUGGAUGACAUAAUCAUCUGCAGUAUCACCCUGAAGGAGCACGUAGAGCAUUUAAGGAAGAUCUUCAAGAUCCUAAGACAGAACGAGUUAUAUGUAAGGAAGAAAAAUUGCUCAUUUGCUAUGGAGGAAGUGAGCUUCCUAGGCCAUCGCAUCAGAGAUGGCAAGCUGAUGAUGGAUGAUAGCAAGGUGAAAGCCAUCCAAGAAUGGGAUCCACCAACCAAGGUACCUCAACUCAAAUCUUUCCUUGGUUUAGUUAAUUACUACCGGCAGUUCAUCAAGGGUUAUUCGGCAAGGACAGCUCCACUCAUUGAUCUUCUUAAGAAGAAUAAGGCAUGGGAAUGAGACGAAAAGAGCCAACAAGCCUUUGAGGAUCUAAAGAAGGCUGUGACUAAGGAGCCGGUGUUGGCACUACCUGACCACACCAAAGUUUUUGAGGUACACACAGAUGCCUCAGACUUUGCUAUUAGGGGAGUCCUUAUGCAAGAAAGGCACCCGAUCGCAUUUGAGAGUCGCAAGCUAAACGACACGGAGAGGCGUUACACGGUGCAAGAAAAAGAGAUGACCGCCAUCGUCCAUUGCUUGCGCGCCUGGAGACAUUAUCUUCUAGGUCUCACUUCAUAGUGAAGACCGACAAUGUUGCCACUAGCUACUUCCAGACACAGAAGAAGCUAAGUCCUAAACAAGCUAUGUGGCCUGGCCAAGUUCUACUAUACGCUGGAGUAUAAGCCAGGAAGUGCUAAUCAUGUGGCCGACGCCCUAAGCCGCAAAGCGGAGCUAGCGUCCAUGAUGAGUCAGCCCCAAUGAGACAUAAUGGAUUUUUUAAGGGAAUGACUGCAACAUGAUCCAGUGGCUAAGAGCCUCAUCCCCCUGGCUCAUGAAGGGAAGACUAAGCGGUUCUGGGUAAAGGACGACCUACUCUACACUAAGGGGAGAAGACUCUACGUGCCUAAGUAGGAGAACGUAAGGCGGAAUCUGAUAAAGGAGUGUCAUGACACCAAGUGGGCUGGACACCUUGGACAACGACGCACGAGGGCACUACUCAAGUCGGCUUAUUAUUGGCCUCAAAUACGGGAUGAGGUUGAGGCUUAUGUGAGGACUUGUCUUGUGUGCCAACAAGACAAGGUGGAGCAACGACAACCUAGAAGCCUGUUGGAGCCACUACCUAUAGUAGAGCGCCCAUGGGACAGUGUCACUAUGGACUUCAUCAUCGGGCUACCCAAGUCGGAGGACAGCGGCUCUAUCAUAGUGGUAGUGGAUAGGUUCUCUAAGUAUGCAACCUUCAUAACAGCCCCGACUGACUACACUGCGGAAGAGACGGUGAGGCUAUUCCUAAAGCACUUAGUCAAGUAUUGGGGGUUGCCUAAAUUCAUCAUCAGUGAUCGCGAUCCGCGUUUCACUGGGAAGUUUUGGACGGAGCUCUUCAAGCUUAUGGGUUCGGGGUUUCACUUUUCCACAAGCUUUUACCCACAAACGGAUGGGCAGACUGAGAUGGUGAACACUUUAUUGGAGUUAUACUUAAGGCACUUCGUGAGUGCCAACCAGAAGGAUUGGGUUAAGUUGCUAGGCAUAACCCAGUUCUCGUACAACCUGCAAAGGAGUGAGGCAACCAAUAAGAGCCCGUUCGAGCUGGCCACAGGGCAGUAACCGUUAACUCCUCACACUCUAAGGAUUGGCUAUACGGGAAGAAGUCCAACGGCUUUCAAGUUCGUAAAAGGGUGGCACGAGUAAGCUGACAUAGCGUGCUCAUACUUGGACAAGGCCGCUAAGAAAAUGAAGAAGUGGGCUGACAAGAAUCGAUGUCACACGGAGUACAAGGACGGAGACAUGGUGCUUGUCAAGCUCUUUCCUCAACAAUUCAAAUCCCUAAGGCCGGUGCAUAAGGGUCUUGUGAGGAAAUAUGAAAAACUCUUCCCCAUACUUGGGAAGGUCGGCAAAGUGUCCUAUAGAGUUAAGUAACCAGCAAGGUUGAAGAUUCAUCAUGUCUUCCAUGUAAGCUACUUGAAACCCUAUCAUGAAGACAAGGAUGAUCCAAGCCGAGGGUUGUCUAAGAGGGCACCCACAACGGUCGUGACCUCCUAUGAUAAGGAGGUAGAACACGUCCUCGCAGAUCGGGUCAUCAGGAGACGAGGUGUACCACCUGCUACAGAUUACUUGGUGAAAUGGAAGAGACUACCAGAGAGCGAGGCUAGCUGGGUGCCAGCAGAUGCACUAUGGCAGUUCUAGGAGCAGAUUGAGCAGUUCCGAGCAGAAGGCGCGACGAGGACGUCUGUGGCAUAGGUGGGGGAGAUUGUCACAAUAUGAUCCAAAUGAGCCUCCCCAUGGGCUUAUAUAGAGCCAGGAAGCUUCUGGAGACUCCUAAAGCGGGAAGAGUGUGGAACGUUCUAGAGAUGCCUGGAGAAGUCCACACAACUCUACAUUAUGGUGGAAGACAUGAGAAGAGUCCACACCCUUCUAGAGAAUUCCAGAAAUCUCUUGUAUAUACUUGUACAUAGACUUAUACCUAGAAUGAUGUAGGACAUUCUAGAAUAUACUUGAGUUGUAAGGAACCCUCCAAGGUUCUAGAGAGUUCCAUUGGUGCCUAUAAAUAGGUGAGGACCUCAUUUGGCCAAGGCACCAAGCAAGUGAGCUUCCAAGCACUUGUAAAGGCUUCCUUGAGUUAGUAAGAGCUUCCAUUCUUUAAAGAGUUGCCUACUAAGCUUCUUAAGAUUUCGAGUCGUGAGCAUUUUAGCCUAGCAAGUUAAGCAUUGGGAACAAGGCUGAUUUAGGAAGAUCAAGCGUCUUGACUUGCCUAAGUGUCGCACGAGCUUAGUGAACGACUAAGUCUGUGACAUAUCGCCGUCGUUCAUGCAAUAUGCCAUCAGAAUCACAUGUUCAUUGUUAUACACCGAUUCAAGGCAACCUUACUAUUUCUAUAAAGAAGCUUCAAGGAAUUGCUUUACCAGGGGAGCGAAAAGGAAAAUUUUGGAUGUGGCAUAGGUGUCUGCUAUGUCCUCGCACCAAUGGGUUCUCUCCAGCAACACGCAGAGUAGUGAUGUCUGAUGCUGCAUAGGAUUCGUCUUUUUGGAGAAUUUCAGAACUCAGCUUUUCAAACCAUGCUACUGCAAGCAGGGCCCUGAUCGAAAUUUCUCUAUUGUACCAAAAUACUUAGCCUUUUUACGUAGUAACUCUGGUCAAGAAAAACUAGAGAAAGAGUCACUACGGCUUUUGUAGUAUUCCGGGUAUCGUUCUCAAGGACUGGCUUAUGAAAAUUGUUAAUACUAAAAUAAAUGAAUUGUUUUUGUUUAAAUCAUUAAGUGAAAAACAAUAUGUGAAUAAUGUGAAACUAAGUAAAAGAAAUUAAAUUAAUAAGAGAAAAUGAAUAUUGAUUUUAAAUUCAAUUGAUUCAAGUUUGGGGUUUUCCACAAUCCAACCUAGGGUAUAGAAAUUAUAGAAAACAAGGGUAUUUUAAGUAAUAUGAUCUUAGGGUUUUGGGAUCCUUGGCCACGAUCAAGUUGAGUUCUAUAACUCAAAAUUGCAUCCGAAACCUAAUUUUUCCUUUUUUAAAACAGAUUCCUAAAACCAUCAAAUGAAUGAGAUUGAUUAUCAAUUUAAGAUUUGGCUUUUUAACUAUUCCUACUCCUUAUAGCUUUGUUUAGGGGCAAAUAACGGUAGGUAAAAUGGGAAUAACUAAUGAUCAAGAAUUACCAAGAAUCACUAGUAUCAAGUAAUAACCUACUGUAUCAUUCCCUAAACGAACUCACAAGGAUAGGAUAAAAAAAAUUGAUAAAUUGUCACUCAACCAAUAAUUAAUCUCAUUGUUAUAAUAAUUCACCCAUUGUCCCUAUAGGUUUCCUAGACCUUAGGUUUUCAUGCUUCAAGCCCCAAGUUGGAUCUUAGCCUCUCAUGGGGGUGAUGUCACAUUCACAAUCCAUAAUAGGGUAAAAAUCCAUAAUUUGAAUCAAAAGAAACUAAAAACAAUAUAUUCAAUAAAGAAGAAAAAGAAAACAAACCAAAGUUCUCGUCUUCUUCCUCCUUCAAUGUCAAAAACUCUAGAAAAAAAUCCAAGAUCCCUCAAACCUAGAAUUGAGAGAGUUUAUAUAAUAUCCUCAAUUACCUAACAUGUGGCACACUCUCAUUGGCCAUUUAUUACAAAAUAAUUUCCUAAAAAUGAUUAAAAAAUAAUAAAAUGAUGAUUUCUAGUCGUGUGGGGUCCACCUAGGGCGGAUGGAGUGCUUUAGAUGCAAUUCCCGAGGUAGAGGAGGCGGAACAUCAAAGUGGCAGUGGGUGAAUUCAAAAUUGGUGUCAUUUCGAAGUGGAUUUCAAAUUCAUAAGUUGAAUUUCGAAAUCAUAAGUUGAAUUUCGAAAUCAUUUCUAAAUGACCCUCCAACUUGGUGCAGUUGUCUUCAAAUGGCUAUAACUUCUCCAUUUCAGCUUCGAUUUGCAAAACGUUUGAAGCGUUGGACUCCUGACUUCCCAAGCUUCAAAACAAUAUAUAGUAUGUAUAUAAUGGACUCCAGAAAGUGCUCCAAAUUUGUCCUCAAAGUCAGAGUAUAUAAUGCCAUCAGAUUUUUGAGUUCUAAAUUUCCAUGCAGCUAAAUCUUGCUUCAUGCCUCAUUUCCCUUGCUUUCUUGCCUUCUUUCUUACUCCAUAAUGGUCAUUUAUCAUCCUCCAACCUCAUGAUAUCCUUGUUUUUCCUUUCCUUACGUUCAAUGAGUCUUGAUUCACUUAUUUCCUCAUUUAGCUCUUUCUUGAUCUUUCAAAAUCUAAAGUCAUUCAAUUUGCACAAUUUUCUUCCCUUGAACCUGAGAUAAAUCUCCAAAGUAUAGAUUAAACUCAUGGCUAGGGCCUUAGCAUUGAUUUAGGUCAAGUUGGGUGAUUUGAAUGUCCUUUGGUGCACAAAUCAUAUCGAAUAUGUGCCAUUAGAGCACAUAUUUUGGCUCCAAUCAGGCCCACAACACCAUUGCAUGAUUUGGUGACUAUCCAAGCAUCUAAUCAAACCUCUGGGGCAUGUACUACAUGGCCACCUUUAGCACGGCCACCUUUGGGCCACGUGCCAUCUCCCAGUACAUCAUUUUUUAUUUUUGAAAAUAAUUUUCCAAAUCUUUUUCUUCAAAUAAUUUUCUGUAUUUUAGUUUUUUUUUUAAAUAAUCCCAACUCCACAUUUUUUUUCAUCCUUAGAAUUUUUAGGUUCCAAAAAUCCUUCCAUUUUUAAUAAAAUUUGUUGCCACUUUCUUUGGCAAGCAAUUUUCAUAUUUUCUUUAAUUUUUAAAAAUGUUUUAAAAUAAGUAUGAAUUUUAUUUUGUAAUUCCAAAUGAUGAAAUUUAUGAAAUUAAUUCACGCACAAAAAUAAAUCGGGCUUUGAUGGGGCCCAACAUCAUUGAAUGUUUUCUUUAAAAAUAAAUUUGAGUGAAGCUCAAUACCUGUUAGUGGUGAUUUCUUACUCUAUUUAGUGGCAUGUGUGAUAUACUUUGUGUUCAUUAUGGUUCACUAACCUCAUUUCAUGACAGCGCAUUAGUGCUUGCUACUAAGGUUCUCAUUCACACUCACUUUGACCAUUCUAUCUAUAUUGUUAUGAAUCUCAUGUGUGCAUAUCAUUUUGGUAUCUCUUGAUCUAUCAGUUAAUUGUCACGUCUACUUCAUCUCAUUAGUAGAGACCCGUUUUUAGGGACUUAGAGGGGUACUACAGUCUUUAUCGUACCUUCCCAAUAAGUAACUUAACCCCCGAGCUCAAAUUCGGUUUUUCACCGACCGUCUUUUCCAAAUAAAAAGUCACACUUAAAGUUUUCUUUCCUAUUUUGUUUACCCUUUUAAAAUAAAACAAAAAUAAGUAAUGACUUCAAGUCAUUUUCUAAAAAAUAAAUCAUUUUCAAACAAAAAAAACGAGUUUGUCAUCAAGUGAAAACGCAUGAACAGAAAUGCAGGGUCCACACAUCUAUUUAUUUGUUUUUCAAAAUAAUGUUUUAUUUUCCUAAACCAAAAUAAAAUAAUAUAUAUAUAUAUAGAAAACCUUUAACAACUAAAAGAAUAAAAAAAUAAAAAAAGUUUCAUUUUAAAAUUAUUUAGAAAAUAGUUUUACAUUCUUAAAAUUAGAAAACAUUUUUGUAUUUUUAAAAAUAAAAAAUAUUUUCAAAAUAUAUCUAUUAAUGGUUUUACUCAUGUUUUUUUUUACUAUUUUAAAAAUAAUUAUAUAAAUAUAAAAAUUUAUUAAAAAUAAAGGUAAUAUAUAUAAGAGUUAACUUUAAAAUAUAUUUAAAAAUAUGCAAAACGUAUUAAGAAGAUUUUGAUUCUAAAUAAACUAUUAUUCUACCUCAAUUAAAUGUUCUUAAAUGUAAAUUCAAUCUUUUUCUCUCCCAAAGUCAGGAAAACACCAAUAUUUUUAUUUUUAUUUGGCAUUACCUUCAUCAUGAUACAAAAGCAAAUAAACGAUUUUUUUUUCCCUUUUUAUGAAAUAUUUUCAAAACAGUUGUAAAAUAUAAUUUUUAAAAAUUAUUUUAUAAUGUUUUGUAAAACAAAAAUUUGUUUAAAAAAUUAAAAUAUUCUUAAUUUAUUUUAUAUGCUUUUAAAUAUUCUAUAUGAUUAUUUUGAAAAUAAUUCUUACAAAAUAAAUGGAAACAAAUUAAACAAUAAAAACAUAUUCUAAAAAAUCACUCUAUACUAUAUUUUUAAACUUUACCAUAGAUGUUGUGCUCAAAAUGAAGAAGACAUGGUAUAAAUUAAUUAUUAGAUUCACCCAUUGCUACUACCACCGAGAAUACUCGAGGUUGCAAGCAUGUUACAGUCUCCAUAAAACAUUGAAGAUUUAAUCUGGACAGCUUACAGAUCUUACUUAAAAUUAAUUAAAACAAAUCUAAUCAAAACACAAGUUAAUCUAGAGCUAUAUAAAUGGAACAGCAGAUCAUCUCUCCACAGAGUCAUGAAAUGUCAAACCAGAACCAGACAGCUUUUGCUCUACGAUCUUGUUAAGGCGAUCCACCAUGUCAUUUGUGAGAUGAUUCCUCCAAUCCCCAACCUUACCUUGCCUGAAGAAUAUAUGCUUGCCAAUCUUACGUUUGCCUAGCUGGAAUGUUCCUGUAUUAUUCACUUUCAGGUUGCUUAGAUUCUCAAAGCUGCAAAGCUUUAGAAUUUCAUGCACCACGCCUUGCCUUUCUUCUUCUGAAGAGAAGGGGCAGCCCAUAAACUCUGCUAGCCUCUUGAGAUGAAAUGGUGAAUCCUUCUUCAUAUCCUCAUACUUCAUAAACAGGACUCUCUCUGGCCACUCUAGGCUUGCCUUCCAAUACCCUAAUACAUGAUCCCAGAAGGGUCCAUAAAAAGAAACUCCUUUGCAGAACUGCUCAAAAGCCUCUUCCACGGAAAGAUGUUCAACAUUAUUGUCUGCCAUUCUAUUCAGGAAGUAAAAUGAAGAAACAAACACAUCUUUCGGGUGUCUCUUCAAAAAAUAUCUUUCACAAUUCUAAAAAAUUAGAUUUAUAGGUGGUAUUUAUUUUUUUGAAUUUUUGCUGAAAGCAAUUUAUUUCUAUAAUUUAAGUUGUUUAUUUUUCUAAUUUUUUAUUACUUAUUAUAAACUUUUUACUGAAUAUAAAAAACCAAAAUAUGUAACUUUUUCUAAAUACAAAAAAUAACAUAUUGGUUUUUCUUUACUUUUUAAUAUUUAAUAAAAAUAAAAUACUAUAAAAACAAACAACAAAAUAUUUAACACUAUUAAACAUUAAAGUUCUAUUUAGAAUUAAGUAAAUAAAUAUCAUCUAAAAGUGUCUCUUAAAAUGACUUUUUUUAUAAUUUCACAAAAUUCAAUAUACACGAAAGGUGUCUCUUAAGGUGACAUCUUCCAUAAUUUCACAAAUUUUAAUUUAUACUAUAAGUGUAUUUUGAAAUUGAUUUUAUAUUAAAAAACAUAUUCUAUAAUUCCAAAAAAAUUAAAUUUAUAUUAAAAAUAUCUUUUUAAUAGAUAUUUUUCACAAUUUCACAAAUUCCACUUUAUACUAAAAAGUAUCUUUUGAAGAUGUACGUUUCAUCUCCACCCAUAAAAAGUAGGAGAUCACCUCAAGCUCAAUAUAGAACAAGUUUGCACUUUCAAUAUAUACAAAAGUUUUUAUAUUAUAUGAAAAAGUCUUUGUUUUCAAAAAAAAUAAAAAAUAAAAAAUACAUCCGAGCAUUAUUGUCUUACUUUUUAUUUAAUUAUUUAACAUGUUAUUUACAUUAUGCUUGUUUAAUUGCUUUAAAAUUUUAUUUUUAUUGUAUUUAUUGAACUAUCUAUAUAUAUAUUUGAUAGGAUGAAAAAGAAGAGUGGAAAUGGAUAUUCGGAUAUUUAAAUAAUUUAAAUGAUAAUAAUCAUUUAAAUCCUACUAAUAAAUGAUAUAAAACAAUUUAAAUUUAUUAGUUUACCUUUUUAUUUUUGUUCAAUUUAUACUAAUUUUUAUGGUUAAUUUUUAUUUAUUGAAUAAAUAUUAUUUUUUAAGUCUUAUUAUUUAACCAAAAAAACUUCAAAAAGAUGUUUUUUUUUAAAUAAAAAACUUAUUUUAAAUUAUGUGUAAAAAUAUUAUUAUUAAUUUAUUUUUCUUCCAUUGUCAUUUGCAUUAUUAUCAAAUAUUAAAAAUAUUUCUGGCAAUUUCUUGGGAUCAACAUUUUUUGGCACCACCAUUCAUUUCAUUACUACCGCAGUGCUUGUCUGGUGGUUAGGGUGUAGGUGAGAUAUAUUUCUGGGGACCACAUUUUUUGGCACCAUCAUUCAUUACAUUACUACCGCAGUGCUUGUCUGGUGGUUAGGUGUAUGUGAGAUAUAUUUAUUUCAAAUGGGAAAAGUGUAGUUGAGAUUUAUUUUUUAUUUUUUAUUUUUUAAAAAGAAUAUAAGAAUUUUUAUCUCAUACUUCUAUUAAAAAUCUCUUCAAAACUUUAAAAAUACUUCUUUAAAUUUCAGAAAUUUCUAAAACUAUUUGCAAAUGCAUCAAGUAUAUAGCUACUUUGUAUAUAAAAAUUCCCACAUUUUCUACUUUUAAAACAAAAAAUAAAAAAUAAAUCUAAACAUUUCUUCUUUUUUUUAAUUAUUUAAUAUGUCAUUUAUAUUAUGCUCGUUUAGUUACUCAAAAUUUUCAUUUAACUAUAUAAUUUACUAUUAUCAAACAAUUUUAUUAUGAAUAUAUAAAAGAGAAAGAUAAAUAUAUUUAUAAAUAUAUAAUUAAUGUUUUUUUUUUCUUAGAUAAGUUAAAUCUUUGAUUUUCACAUAUGAGUAUAUGGUUGAACAUAAAGAUUUAAUUCAUUUUACUCGUUCCUUUCGUGAUAAGCAAUAUAUAUAUAUAGCCAAAAGCACAUUCUUUAAAGUGGAUCCGUGACAAGCAAUACAUAGAUAUAGUCAAAAGCACAUUCUUUAAAGCGGAUAAUAUUUAUAGGACGAAAUAUGAAUAGUUAUAAAUGGAGUCAGAAUAAAUGUCAAUUUUGAUAUGAAAAUUUAUUCAAUGGUGUAAGGAACUUAUAAAGUAAAUCUCGAUUAUAAUGUGGGAAUUUGUUUGACUCAUUAAGAAAUGUAUUUGAUCUAUCAUCAUGUAAGAUAUUAAAACUCUGAUAGUUGAUUGAGGUGGUUACAACUUAUGAUAUCACACUCAUAAAUACACAUGAAGGUGGAGUUGUAGCAUGGUUCAAAGUCGUGGUAUCGAUCAUUAACUCGAAAGGUCAUGAGGUAUAUUGGUCUUGGUGUUUCGAUUUAAUAUUGGACAAUACGUAAAAUAAGAUAAUUAGAAAUUUCAUCAAAAAAUUAUAAAAAUAUAAUAUUAAUUAUAAAUAAAUAAGCUGAAAAUUUUAAUAAAAUGAUUUUUUUCAUAUUUAGCUCAAUGUUAUUUGUGAUAAUAUUAAGAAUUGAUGAUUUAAUUCUCACCUUGCCAUAUAAAUACUUUAAUUUAUCUCUAAAUCCCAUUCAUACCUUUCAUAUCAUUUUACUUCACUGAUUUGAGCUCCCAAUCUCCCACCCUUGCACGCCACCGCCAAGAGCCACAACAGACGACACCACCUGCAAUUGCAAAUUUGCAACCGUGCAAGACCCAACAGAGGGGGAGCAAUCUGACUGUGAGCGGGCGUAGACAGGUAUCAUGGCCACUGUUCACCCUCCUGAGAAAUCUUUGAUGCGGGAGGAUGAAGAUGAAAAAGAGAAGGCCAGGAAAAGAAACAAUGAGAUCAUAUCAAGUCUUGGAAAAGAAGAAGGCUGGAUGGAAGAGUAUACGUAUGAAUACCAAGGUUUUUGGUACCCUUCAGUGACUGUAGUAGAAGGAGUCAUGUGGGUGCAACAAAACUUCAAGCCGCGCCAUGAAGAUAUUCUUCUGGUCACCCUUCCCAAAUCUGGCACAACAUGGUUCAAACCUCUCAUGUUUGCUGUCAUGAACCGAACCCACUUUGAUCUCUCAACACACCCUCUUCUCACCACCAGUCCCCAUGAUCUUGUUCCCUUCUUGGAACUGUUCCUCAGCCACAAGAUCCCCUUCCCAAAUCCGGAUACUUUCUAUCCACCUCAACUCUUCCAGACCCACAUCCCUUUUUCUUCAUUAUCACAAUAUGUAAUGGAAUCUCAGUGUCGAAUUGUCUAUAUUUGCCGAAAUCCGAAAGAUGUGUUUGUUUCUACAUUUUACUUCCUGGAGAAAGUGAGAGAUAAGAAGUUAACACCCCUUUCACUUGAGAAGGCAUUUGAGCUGUUCUGUAAAGGGGUCUCUCUGUAUGGACCCUUUUGGGAUCAUGUAUUAGGGUACUGGAAGGCAAGCUUGGAAGUGCCUGACAGGGUGCUGUUCUUGAAAUACGAAGAUAUGAAGAGGGACUCCUCUUUUCAUCUCAAAAGAUUGGCAGAAUUCAUGGGCUACCCUUUCUCUGUAGAGGAAGAAAAACAAGGAGUGGCGCAUGACAUUCUAGAGCUGUGCAGUUUCGAGAACCUAAGGAAUUUGAAGGUGAACAAGACAGGAAAAAUAAUUACAAGUAACAAUAAUCAACUGGAGAAUCAUAGAUUUUUCAGGAAAGGUGAGGUUGGAGACUGGAAGAGACAUCUAACAGCUGAGAUGGAGGACGGCCUUAACAAGCUGAUUGAGCAAAAGUUGGCUGGUUCUGGUUUGGCAUUCCGUGACUCCUCCGAGGCAUGAGCGCCUGUCUAUCUACUGAGUUGCGGAUGUGAUUAUGUAAGGGUUUGUAUUAAGUUAAGUGGUUUGAGGGUGAAUUAAUAUUUUGUAUUAAUAGUUAAGUAGUUUGCAUUUAUUGGUGUGAAUGUAAGAAUUCUCCGAGUUUGUUUGAUAAUUAUUUUCAAAAAUAAUUUUAAAAAACAGUCUUUAAAAACAAUUUUUAAAAAUUGUAUUUUUUUUUUUUUAUGUUUUAUAAAAUAAAAUUUUAUUUGAAAACAUAAAAUAUUU